CUCGAUGUCGGCUCAUCACAUCCUGGGGCUGUAGCAGGUCCCAAGGGAUCGGCUGUUCGCCGAUUAAAGUGGUACGUGAGCUGGGUUUAGAACGUCGUGAGACAGUUCGGUCCCUAUCUGCCAUGCGUGUAGGAUAUUUGAGAGGAUCUGUCCCUAGUACGAGAGGACCGGGAUGGACGUACCUCUGGUGUACCAGUUGUUUCGCCAGAAGCAUCGCUGGGUAGCUAAGUACGGAAGGGAUAACCGCUGAAAGCAUCUAAGCGGGAAGCCCACCUCAAAACUAGGUUUCCCUGAGAGCCGUGGAAGACCACCACGUUGAUAGGCCGGGUGUAGAAGCGCAGUAAUGUGUGAAGCUAACCGGUACUAAUAGCUCGAUCGACUUUAGAUCUCUC
This 392-nucleotide ribosomal RNA is filed under the name Rhodospirillaceae bacterium. RNAcentral describes it as "bacterial LSU rRNA". It matches the Rfam family "Bacterial large subunit ribosomal RNA", at positions 2525 to 2925 of the family's 2925-position model. The record is from RNAcentral. Lineage: Bacteria; Pseudomonadati; Pseudomonadota; Alphaproteobacteria; Rhodospirillales; Rhodospirillaceae.